CUUUGGUGACUCUAAAUAAACUCGGGCCGAUCGCACCUCCCCGUGAUGGCGACGACGCAUUCCGAUGUUUGCCCUAUAAACUUUCGAUGUUACUUUCUGUGCCUACCAUGGUGACCACGGGUAACGGGGAAUCAGGGUUCGAUUUCGGAGAGGGAGCCUGAGAAACGGCUACCACAUCCAAGGAAGGCAGCAGGCGCGCAAAUUACCCACUCCCGACGCGGGGAGGUAGUGACGAUAAAUAACAAUACAGGACUCUUUCGAGGCCCUGUAAUUGGAAUUAGUACACUUUAAAUCCUUUAAUGAGGAUCUAUUGGAGGGCAAGUCUGGAGC
This is a non-coding RNA of Pelobates cultripes (western spadefoot toad), 330 nucleotides long. NCBI's taxonomy places the organism in Eukaryota, Metazoa, Chordata, Amphibia, Anura, Pelobatidae. The record is from the annotation of a GenBank genome assembly.